GUAAGUCGAACGGCAGCGCGGGGCAACCUGGCGGCGAGUGGCGAACGGGUGAGUAAUAUAUCGGAACGUGCCCUGGAGUGGGGGAUAACGCAGCGAAAGUUGCGCUAAUACCGCAUACGAUCUAAGGAUGAAAGCGGGGGAUUCGCAAGAACCUCGUGCUCCUGGAGCGGCCGAUAUCUGAUUAGCUAGUUGGUGGGGUAAAGGCUUACCAAGGCAUCGAUCAGUAGCUGGUCUGAGAGGACGACCAGCCACACUGGAACUGAGACACGGUCCAGACUCCUACGGGAGGCAGCAGUGGGGAAUUUUGGACAAUGGGCGAAAGCCUGAUCCAGCAAUGCCGCGUGAGUGAAGAAGGCCUUCGGGUUGUAAAGCUCUUUUGUCAGGGAAGAAACGGUGUGGGCUAAUAUCCUGCACUAAUGACGGUACCUGAAGAAUAAGCACCGGCUAACUACGUGCCAGCAGCCGCGGUAAUACGUAGGGUGCAAGCGUUAAUCGGAAUUACUGGGCGUAAAGCGUGCGCAGGCGGUUUUGUAAGUCUGUCGUGAAAUCCCCGGGCUCAACCUGGGAAUUGCGAUGGAGACUGCAAGGCUAGAAUCUGGCAGAGGGGGGUAGAAUUCCACGUGUAGCAGUGAAAUGCGUAGAGAUGUGGAGGAACACCGAUGGCGAAGGCAGCCCCCUGGGUCAAGAUUGACGCUCAUGCACGAAAGCG
Molecule: ribosomal RNA, 709 nt
Filed under: uncultured bacterium
Lineage: Bacteria
Description: bacterial SSU rRNA
Rfam family: Bacterial small subunit ribosomal RNA
Source: RNAcentral